Non-coding RNA from Nerophis lumbriciformis (worm pipefish), 4864 nucleotides. NCBI's taxonomy places the organism in Eukaryota, Metazoa, Chordata, Actinopteri, Syngnathiformes, Syngnathidae. The record is from RefSeq and is a predicted model, not a curated record.
UUGACGCUGAAGUGAGAGAGGAAGAACUAUACCUGAUUGAUCUUACAAACUUGGAAAAUGAGAAAAGAAGGAAAUAGUGCAAGAUCCUGAAGCAAUCAGCUUUUCACAAACGCUUUUUGGGCUGGAGCCCCUUAACGGAGCGGUCGCCUUCAACAGCCGACAGAGAGAAUCUUCACGAUGGGCACCGAGAGAGUCUUCCAUCAAGACACAAAGAGGAGGCUUUUAUCCCGACAAACACCUCAGACAUCGUAUCCUUGCUCCAAGACCCCAUCGUAGCAAACGACGCUGAAUGCCCUACAUGCAACCGCUGCGCUAUAGGAGGAGGCGGAGGAGGGGGAUUCAACGCGAUCGGAGGAGAGAGAGGAUCAAACUUCAAUACCUGAUACUGGCUCAGACCUUUAAGAUGAUGGCUGACAUUGUUUGAUAUCAAAAAUGGAAGGUGAAAGGUCCGUAGUUCCGCCCGAAUUAGAGGAUGUUGUCGUAGGAAUAUAAAAUGAAAAUGUUCCUAAUCAUCAUUUAGAAUCAAAUAACCAGACAGAAGGUGAAUCAGACUAUGACGCAAACAAGCACGCACACACACAGACACACCAGGGCGAGAGGAGCCCACAGCCGCAGGGAGAGCAGCAGCCGACUCUUGACCAUUCAAAUUUAAAUGAGAUGCAGCAACCGAGAAGUGGGGCUAUAACCGUCUUGAGGCACGAUGGGUUCAACAAUGUGGAAUUAAAAUGCAUUCUAACUUUUCCUCAAACCGACGGUGUAACAGAUUAUGCCACAUUUUACCGUCGGGUUUUGGGGAGCCUUAAAAACAUGACGGAAAGGGUAACUGAGGAGGCUAGACCCAACGAUAAUGUUCAAUUAGAGUUAAUCGGUGACAGCGCGCAACAACACACUCAUUUUACUUUUCAAAACGAGGCCGCGCGUGUGAUGAAUGCUUUUCACGAUGUGCUAGACCUGAUGGUACAAUCAAAUGCAGUAAUUAUGAACGACGAUGAAAUACAGGUAGUGGUUCAAGUGAUACAUAACCCUAGCGGGGGUGUUAGAAGAAAAGCGGUAACCCUUUUGGAACAUGAACUCUACAGAGUUGAAAGCUAGCUAUCUGUAUAAACCAUACAACUUGAAUAAUCAACUCUGUUUUGCCAUCAGCCUAGCACACCUGAUCCAUCCUGAAUUUACAGAUAGCCCGGCUGUGCUGGAGGCUGAACAAAUACAGAAAAAAGCGGGCUUAGACAAUUAGACCCCCGUCACUUUCAGUCAUAUUCAUGCGUUUGAAAAAGUCGUGCGACGUAAAUUGUCAUACUGUACAGAGAAGAGGAUCAACGUCUCUUCUCACAAUUCGAGACAGAUUCCCCCAAAUCAGAUAAUCCGUUGUAUCUGUAUUUAUCUCAGAAUCAUUACAUCGGCAUCAUCAACAUUAAAGGAUUUUUGUCAAAACCGUACGUUUGCCACUACUGCUACAGAGGUUACGAAAAACCCAACAGACAAAUGCGGCGGCCAUUGCGUGGUCUGUACAGAUCCCGACUGUGUAAAAAUAACGACAAAAUCAGUCUUAUGCCAGGAUUGCAAGAUGUGGUGUCGUUCACCCACUUGUCUACUCAAACAUAGGGAAAAACAUCCGGUAAUGGGUAAACUCUUCAGCAUUUGCGAUCGGCGGAAAAAAUGCCUAGAAUGCAAGCUUUUUUACGAUAUACCUGUGGCUACAGGUAUCGCUAAUCACAAAUGCUCCAAGUUAAAAUGUCAAAUAUGUAAAGUGGCGUUACCCACCUGCGACACAGAGGCAGCAGGAACAGGACAUCUUUGCUAAAUACAAAAACUACCGUGCGAUGUAGAGCCCAGUGAUAAAAUCAUAUUCUAUGAUUUUGAGACGUUCGUCGAUGACAAUCACAUUUACAUCCCAUUUCUAGUCUGUACAAAGACGUUGCAAGGAGAAGAGUGGUGUGCUUUUGAUCUGGACUGUGUUACCGUUUUCCUCACACAUUUUAGGAAGGCUUGUUAUCAUAAAUCUACAUUUAUAGCCCACAAUUCGAGAGGAUUUGGCGGUUAUUUGAUUCUGAGAGGUAUGGUACAGUUGGGCAUAAGACCCUCUAUCAUCAUGCAGGGGAGUAAAGUUCUUUGUUUUGAAGACCGUGAUUUUUGGUUAAAAUACAUUGACUCACUUUCCUUCCUUACCAUGCCACUCAGCGUGAUGCCUAAAGCGUUGGGACUCAACGAUUGCUGGUCCAAGGGGUAUUUUCCUCACAAAUUUAGUUCGGAGGGCCAUUUAAUCUAUGUAGGAAAAUUCCUCCCGAUCAGAAAUUACGGUGUAGAAUGCAUGAAGGCCAAUGAGCGGGACAAGUUUGAGACGUGGUAUCGUAGAGAGCCUAGAGGUCUUUGAUUUCCGAAAACAAGCGGUACAUUACUGCAAAAACGACGUUGACAUUCUCCGCGCAGGAUGCAUCAAAUUUAGAGCAGAGUUUAUGAAUGAGACAGGUGUUGAUCCUUUCACCUGUAUCACCAUAACCUUAGCCUGCAUGAAGGUGUUUGUGACUAAUUUCCUCGAGCCAGGCUCUCUAGCUAUACCUUCCCCGGAUGACUACCGAGGGGCGUGUAAAAAUGUCUCCCACGCCAGCAUCCAAUGGUUAGAAUGGGAGUCGCAUCGUCGUGGAAUUUUCAUACAACACACUUUAAACAAAGGAGAAAAACAGAUGGGUCAUACUUUGUAGACAGAUUUGCUUUAAUCGGCGACAAACCGUUCGUAUGGGAAUUUCAGGGGUGUUUUUAUCACGGAUCCCCGACGUGUUUCGACCCCGGCGUCGUAUGUCCUUUGACAAACACUCCUUACGAAGAGUUGCACAGGGCUACCGAUGAAAAAAUUGAGGCGUUAAAGCGCGACCACAAGGCCAACACGAUCGUCAUAAGAGAGCACAAGUGGAAUGAGAUGAAAAAAUCAAACGCCGGGGUAAUAGACUUUCUCAAAACUAGCAAUUACCCUGAACCUCUUACCCAACAAGACUCUCUUUUUGGGGGUAGGACGAGCGCCUUCGUCUUGAGGCACACAGCGGGUGAGAAGCAACGUGUGUUGUAUGAGGAUGUCAACUCUCUCUCUACCCGUACGUCAACAGCUCAUCUCCUUACCCGCUGGGUCACCCCGUCAUCAUCCACACGGAUUUUGACGACGUUCAAAACUAUUUCGGUCUGGUCAGGGCCGUCGUUCACCCUCCUCGAGGUCUCUAUUUCCCUGCGUUGCCCUAUAGAACGGCCAAGGGUAAAGUAGUGUUUACCCUUUUGCCGCACAUGUGCAGAAAACAAUAACCAGCAGGCACCUUGCGAGCAUGAUGAGGAAGGUAGGGCGCUGAUGGGAGUCUGAGUCACGGUCAAAUUCAACAAAGCUCUGCGGCUGGGGUACUGAGUCGGUAAGAUUACGGAGGUGUGGCACUUUGAAAAGCAGAGCGAUACCGUCUUUACGGGUUACGUUCAAACUUUUCUAAAGGGGAAGCAAGAAGCUUCAGGCUAUCCUAAAGAAGCCGUCGAUGCAGAAAGCUGGGAAAAGUACAUUUGUGAAUAUCGUGAACAUUAGGGAAUACAGCUGGAUGCUAAAAAAAAUCGAGGUCAACCCCGCCAAGAGACAAGUGUCAAAAGUCUGUUUAAACAGCUUCUGGGGAAAGUUUGUGGAAAAGCUCAAUAGAACUCAGACCACCUUGGUGAAAAAAAAAGUGAAGAAUUUUUCAACUUUGUAUUUUCAGGAAAAUUCCAGCUUGAAUAUUUAUAUUUCUCCUUUCUCAGCGAUCAGAUUGCUAUGGUACAGUGGAGAUACAGCAAAAACAGCGUGGUGCUUCCAGGUAUCACAAAUAAUGUAUUUAUCGCCACUUUCACCACCGCUUAUGCCCGCUUGAAAAUGUACAGCUACCUAGAGGGGCUGCAAGAGAGAGUUCUUUACACAGACACCGAUAGUUUAAUCUACACGGUGAACGAGGGGGAAGCUCCUCUGGAGACGGGGUCCUAUCUAGGGGAGUUGACGGAUGAGUUGGGGGGAGACAGCAUUCAAGAAUUUGCCUCCGCCGGUCCAAAGAGUUAUGCCUACCAAACCCGUAAGGGUAAAUAAAUGUUGCUGCGUGCCAAGGGAAUCACUCAAACCCGCGAGUGUUGUGAGAGGGUCAACUUUGACAGCAUCAAAGAUUUGGUAGAGGGAUAUCUACAGGGAGAGAAAACGGGUGAGAUAUACACGCCUCAUCAGCAAAUUGUUCGUGAUAAAAAGGGCUUCCUUUUAAAAAACUCUUCAUUUGAAAAGAAGUUUAGAGUAGUGUUUGACAAAAGACAUCUCUUUCCCGACGGGAAAACUUUAAAAACGGCUUCCUUUUAAAAAACUCUUCAUUCGAAAAGAAGUUUAGAGUAGUGUAUGACAAAAGACGUCUCUUUCCCGACAGAAAAACUUUACCUUUUGGGUAUUAGAGAGAGAAAAUGGAAAAAAAUGGAACGAGUAGCAACUUGAGGGUUGCAGGUUCGAUCCCCGCUUCCGCCAUCCUAGUCACUGCCGUUGUGUCCUUGGGCAAGACCCUUUACCCACCUGCUACCAGUGCCACCCACACUGGUUUAAAUGUAACUUAGAUAUUGGGUUUCACAAUGUAAAGUGCUUUGAGUCACUUGAGAAAAAGCGCUAUAUAAAUGUAAUUCACUUCACUUCACUUUGAUCCUAGAUUUUAUACACCUUUUUCAUGCCUGAUUGUAGGACCUAACGGGUGUGGAAAGACUUUUUUUUGUAAAAUGUAUAUUGGAAAAUUGUGAACACGUCAUGAAUUCUGUACCCAACAACAUUGUGUGGAUUUAUACAUCCUUUCAACCCAUGUAUGCAGAACUAAAAAAGAUGAAUAAAAAAAUAAAAUUUGCUAAA